RNAcentral lists this microRNA precursor (65 nucleotides) under Jaculus jaculus (lesser Egyptian jerboa). RNAcentral describes it as "miRNA (ENSJJAG00000005781.1)". Lineage: Eukaryota; Metazoa; Chordata; Mammalia; Rodentia; Dipodidae. The record is from RNAcentral.
CUCGGCACCUGCCCGCAGCGCUAGGCCGGCUGCGCGAGCCGGCGGUGGCGGAGGCGGGGGAGGGG